CCCUCCCCCUUCCUCCCAGCUGCAUCUCUCUGAGAAACAGGCUGUGUGUUCUCCCCUGGUCAGAUGUCCUGCUGGUCUCAGUGUUAAAGGGACAGACCGUUAAUGUGUUUGUUCCAGGCUGUGUGUUCUCCCCUGGUCAGAUGUCCUGCUGGUCUCAGUGUUAAAGGGACAGACCGUUAAUGUGUUUGUUCCAGGCUGUGUGUUCUCCCCUGGUCAGAUGUCCUGCUGGUCUCAGUGUUAAAGGGACAGACCGUUAAUAUGUGUGUGUUUGUUCCAGGCUGUGUGUUCUCCCCUGGUCAGAUGUCCUGCUGCUCUCAGUGUUAAAGGGACAGACCGUUAAUGUGUGUGUUUGUUCCAGGCUGUGUGUUCUCCCCUGGUCAGAUGUCCUGCUGGUCUCAGUGUUAAAGGGACAGAACGUGACGGGGAUCCGACCAGGAAAAGGGAAGAAGGAGCCGC
Long non-coding RNA from Oncorhynchus tshawytscha (Chinook salmon), 456 nucleotides. RefSeq lists it as uncharacterized. The transcript has 3 exons. The record is from RefSeq and is a predicted model, not a curated record. NCBI's taxonomy places the organism in Eukaryota, Metazoa, Chordata, Actinopteri, Salmoniformes, Salmonidae.